This 492-nucleotide ribosomal RNA is filed under the name uncultured bacterium. RNAcentral's name for it is "partial 16S ribosomal RNA". It matches the Rfam family "Bacterial small subunit ribosomal RNA", at positions 29 to 507 of the family's 1533-position model. The record is from RNAcentral.
AGUGAACGCUGGCGGUAGGCCUAACACAUGCAAGUCGAACGGCAGCACAGUAAGAGCUUGCUCUUACGGGUGGCGAGUGGCGGACGGGUGAGGAAUACAUCGGAAUCUACUUUUUCGUGGGGGAUAACGUAGGGAAACUUACGCUAAUACCGCAUACGACCUACGGGUGAAAGCAGGGGAUCUUCGGACCUUGCGCGAUUGAAUGAGCCGAUGUCGGAUUAGCUAGUUGGCGGGGUAAAGGCCCACCAAGGCGACGAUCCGUAGCUGGUCUGGGAGGAUGAUCAGCCACACUGGAACUGAGACACGGUCCAGACUCCUACGGGAGGCAGCAGUGGGGAAUAUUGGACAAUGGGCGCAAGCCUGAUCCAGCCAUACCGCGUGGGUGAGGAAGGCCUUCGGGUUGUAAAGCCCUUUUGUUGGGAAAGAAAAGCAGCAGGUUAAUACCCCGCUGUUCUGACGGUACCCAAAGAAUAAGCACCGGCUAACUUCGUG